RNAcentral lists this unclassified non-coding RNA (220 nucleotides) under Hevea brasiliensis (rubber tree). Lineage: Eukaryota; Viridiplantae; Streptophyta; Magnoliopsida; Malpighiales; Euphorbiaceae. The record is from RNAcentral.
AGAUAAUGAGUUUGUCCCCACUAGAGUUCAAAAUGUGUGGAAAGUGUGCAUUGACUAUCGCAAGCUUAAUGUUGCUACUAGGAAGGAUCACUUUCCACUGUAAUUCAUGGACCAAAUGUGUGAAAGGUUAGAUGGUCAUACUUUUUAUUGCUUUCUUGAUGGUUAUUCUGGUUAUAAUCAAAUUGUCAUAGCACUUGAAGACCAAGAGAAAAUGACUUUU